This 594-nucleotide ribosomal RNA is filed under the name uncultured fungus. Its description in RNAcentral is "eukaryotic LSU rRNA". It matches the Rfam family "Eukaryotic large subunit ribosomal RNA", at positions 37 to 654 of the family's 3401-position model. The record is from RNAcentral. Lineage: Eukaryota; Fungi.
AGCAUAUCAAUAAGCGGAGGAAAAGAAACCAACAGGGAUUGCCCUAGUAACGGCGAGUGAAGCGGCAACAGCUCAAAUUUGAAAUCUGGCUUUCGGGCCCGAGUUGUAAUUUGUAGAGGAUGAUUUUGAUGCGGUGCCUUCCGAGUUCCCUGGAACGGGACGCCAUAGAGGGUGAGAGCCCCGUCUGGUUGGAUGCCAAAUCUCUGUAAAUCUCCUUCGACGAGUCGAGUAGUUUGGGAAUGCUGCUCUAAAUGGGAGGUAUAUGUCUUCUAAAGCUAAAUACCGGCCAGAGACCGAUAGCGCACAAGUAGAGUGAUCGAAAGAUGAAAAGCACUUUGAAAAGAGAGUUAAAAAGUACGUGAAAUUGUUGAAAGGGAAGCGUUUAUGACCAGACUUGGGCUUGGUUAAUCAUCUGGGGUUCUCUCCAGUGCACUUUUCCAGUCCAGGCCAGCAUCAGUUUUCGCCGGGGGAUAAAGGCUUCGGGAAUGUGGCUCCCCUCGGGGAGUGUUAUAGCCCGUUGUGUAAUACCCUGGUGGGGACUGUGGUUCGCGCUUCUGCAAGGAUGCUGGCGUAAUGGUCAUCAACGACCCGUCU